AGACAUCACACUCAGGUCACCAUGUUUAUUGCACACUCAGUGCAAUUUCUCUGUUCUGAGUGAGAUACUAAAAUGUGUUCAGUGGAGAUUCAUUUCUCUAUAACCAGUGAAUGCCCACUUUCCAAAGCCAAAGAAGCUGCACGUCCUUAGGUAAUUUGCAAAUGAGUGUCAGCUGGGCAUGGCCCUGCUGCUGCAGGCUCAGUGCUAGGCAAGUUAGUUACACAAGUUGUAACUACAUCUGUUUAAAUGGAAGCCUCCUCUAUAGCAGCUCAGUAAUAAAUCCGUACUGCUUUCCUGCACAGAUGUAACUGCACCAAUGUGAUGUCUUCUCUCAUGGCUGUGUUACUGAAUAAUACGUACUUGUAGCAGAUAAUUAUGGCCAUUUGCAUAGGACUGUCUAUUGAUGGCAAUAGUCACGUGAAAUGAGGGGACUGCGAGGAUAAAUAACGCUUGUCUGCUUGGUGGCAGAGCUCCUUGCUUUCAGGCUGAGAGCUGCUGCCAGCACCACUGCCAAGGAAAACCACAUUUUGCUUAAGUGGAGACGGUGCCUUUUGAAACCAGCACGGAGGAAACAACAAAACCCUCAGAGAUGGAGCCCAGCACCGUAUGGCAGGCAUCUUUGCAAGCAAACCAUGCUUCCAGAGAGCACCAGCAGCAGAAGGUCAAAUACACAGAGAUUUGGACAGAAGAACCAAGCAGACUUGGCUGCAAGCUGUGGAAUAUACAAUCCCUGCCCAUGCAACUGCCUUUUGAUCACUUUGAGCUCCCUUGGCUCCUCCAGAACUCUGGAAUCCCACCACCUCCCAGCCCCACAGUGAGCAGAAGCAGAGCAGUGCUGUCUGCAUUCCUGCAAGCCCGGAGUUUGGAAGACAGUGUGAACACAUGCCAGUGUUAAUAAAUAGGGAAUUAUUAAUGACUGUGCAAAGCAGGAAAAUUGCAGACCGAGAUAAGACUCACAGAAUUCCCACUUGCUGAUCUUGGAUAAGGAUAUUUACCAAAGGGGAAAAAUAGCCUGUCCUUAAUUGGACAUCUCUCUGUUUGCGCAGGCGCUGCGCUGUGUAUAAAGGCAGCAGUGUGAGUGCUGAUGUCUGCCUUUGCACUGCCUGGUACAGCUCUGCAGCCCUCAGGCCACGUUGCAAGAGCUGCCUCCAGCACAGCCAGGGCUGCAGGAGGCAAUCUGCCCAGGCCAUGUGUGCCUUUUACCCAGGAGAGAACCGGGGACCUGCUGUCACUAUGUGCCAUGCUGGGGUUGGAGGUGGCUGCCCGCAG
Molecule: long non-coding RNA, 1269 nt
Filed under: Phasianus colchicus (ring-necked pheasant)
Lineage: Eukaryota; Metazoa; Chordata; Aves; Galliformes; Phasianidae
Description: lncRNA (ENSPCLG00000006102.1)
Source: RNAcentral